Molecule: ribosomal RNA, 2885 nt
Filed under: Reichenbachiella carrageenanivorans
Lineage: Bacteria; Pseudomonadati; Bacteroidota; Cytophagia; Cytophagales; Reichenbachiellaceae
Description: Reichenbachiella sp. Wsw4-B4 23S ribosomal RNA
Rfam family: Bacterial large subunit ribosomal RNA
Source: RNAcentral
AAGAAAGUAGAUAAGGGCGUGUGGGGAAUGCCUUGGCUCUCAGAGACGAUGAAGGACGUGAUAAGCUGCGAUAAGCUACGGGGAUCAGCACAUAUGAUUUGAUCCGUAGAUUUCCGAAUGGGACAACCCAGCUAGUUGAAGACUAGUUAUCCAGCAAUGGAGGUUAACCCAGGGAACUGAAACAUCUAAGUACCUGGAGGAAGAGAAAACAAUAGUGAUUCCGUAAGUAGUGGCGAGCGAACGCGGAUUAGCCCAAACCAAAACUGUUACGGCAGUUUUGGGGUUGUAGGACUGUUAAGUGCGAUAUAAAACGAACUGGAACUAACUGGGAAGUUAGGCCAAAGAGGGUGAAAGCCCCGUACAGGUAAGGUUUAUAUCCGGGACAGUAUCCUGAGUAGGGCGGAGCAGGUGAAACUCCGUUUGAAUCUGCCGGCACCAUCCGGUAAGGCUAAAUACUCCUGAGAGACCGAUAGUGAACCAGUACCGUGAGGGAAAGGUGAAAAGUACCUUGAAUAAAGGGGUGAAAUAGAACCUGAAACCGCACGCUUACAAGCGGUCGGAGCAACUUAGUGUUGUGACGGCGUGCCUUUUGCAUAAUGAGCCUACGAGUUACUCUUCACUAGCAAGGUUAAGUGAUUAAGUCACGUAGCCGGAGCGAAAGCGAGUCUGAAUAGGGCGCCAUAGUUAGUGGAGGUAGACGCGAAACCCGGUGAUCUACCCAUGACCAGGAUGAAGUUGCGGUAACACGCAAUGGAGGUCCGAACCAGUUGACGUUGAAAAGUCUUUGGAUGAGUUGUGGGUAGGGGUGAAAGGCCAAUCAAACCGGGAAAUAGCUCGUACUCCCCGAAAUGCUUUUAGGAGCAGCGUGGAGGUUAAGUCUAACGGAGGUAGAGCUACCAAUAGGACUAGGGGGAGUCAAAUCCUACCAAAUCCUGAUGAACUCCGAAUGCCGUUAGAUAUACUCUGCAGUGAGGGCAUGGGUGCUAAGGUCCAUGUCCGAGAGGGAAAGAACCCAGAUCUACAGCUAAGGUCCCAAAGUAUAUGUUAAGUUGAACUAAGGCGGUCCAGUUGCCGAGACAGCAAGGAGGUUGGCUUGGAAGCAGCCAUUCCUUUAAAGAGUGCGUAACAGCUCACUUGUCGAGCGACAGGGCAUCGAUAAUAAUCGGGCAUCAAACAUAUCACCGAAGCUUAGAAUUGUAAUUUAUUACACUGGUAGGGGAGCAUUCUAUUCUGCGAUGAAGCUGAGACGUAAGUUUUGGUGGAGCGUAUAGAAAAGCAAAUGUAGGCAUAAGUAACGAUAAUGCGGGUGAGAAACCCGCACACCGAUAGACUAAGGUUUCCACGGCAAUGCUAAUCAGCCGUGGGUUAGUCAGGACCUAAGGCGAACCCGAAAGGGGUAGUCGAUGGACAAUGGGUUAAUAUUCCCAUACUACCAUACUCAGUGAUGGGGUGACGGAGUAGUGAAAGCGCUGCGAACUGACGGAAUAGUUCGUUGAAGAGUGUAGGUAUUGGACCGGUAGGUAAAUCCGCCGGACUAGCUGAACUUGAUAGUACCUUGAUCCUUCGGGAGACGGGAUAAUGCGCCUAAUCAGACUUCCAAGAAAAACCUCUAAACUUAUGAAUAUGGUACCUGUACCGCAAACCGACACAGGUAGUCAAGGAGAGAAUCCUGAGGUGCUCGAGUGAUUCAUGGCUAAGGAACUAGGCAAAAUGGCCCUGUAACUUCGGGAGAAGGGGCGCCAGCUUCGGCUGGCCGCAGUGAAAAGGCCCAGGCGACUGUUUAACAAAAACACAUGGCUUUGCGAAAUCGAAAGAUGAUGUAUAAGGCCUGACACCUGCCCGGUGCCGGAAGGUUAAGGGGGGGCGUUAUUGACUUCGGUUGAGAAGCGCUGAACUGAAGCCCCGGUAAACGGCGGCCGUAACUAUAACGGUCCUAAGGUAGCGAAAUUCCUUGUCGGGUAAGUUCCGACCUGCACGAAUGGUGCAACGAUCUGGGCACUGUCUCAGCCAUGAGCUCGGUGAAAUUGUAGUCGCGGUGAAGAUGCCGCGUACCCGCAACGGGACGGAAAGACCCCAUGAACCUUUACUAUAGCUUCACAUUGGUAUUGGGUAAAUGAUGUGUAGGAUAGCUGGGAGGCUUUGAAGCUGUGUCGCUAGGCAUGGUGGAGCCGUUGGUGAAAUACCAGCCUUUAUUUAUCUGAUGCCUAAUCCGACUAUGUCGGAGACAUUGUGUGGUGGGUAGUUUGACUGGGGUGGUCGCCUCCAAAAGAGUAACGGAGGCUUUCAAAGGUACCCUCAGCACGUUUGGUAACCGUGCGUAGAGCGCAAUAGCAUAAGGGUGCUUGACUGUGAGGCCAACAAGCCGAUCAGGUACGAAAGUAGGAUAUAGUGAUCCGGUAGUUCCGUAUGGAAGGGCUAUCGCUCAAAGGAUAAAAGGUACUCUGGGGAUAACAGGCUGAUCUCCCCCAAGAGCUCAUAUCGACGGGGAGGUUUGGCACCUCGAUGUCGGCUCGUCACAUCCUGGGGCUGGAGAAGGUCCCAAGGGUUGGGCUGUUCGCCCAUUAAAGUGGCACGCGAGCUGGGUUCAGAACGUCGUGAGACAGUUCGGUCCCUAUCUGUUGUGGGCGUAAGAAAUUUGAGAGGCUCUGACUUUAGUACGAGAGGACCGAGUUGGACGAACCUCUGGUCUACCGGUUGUGGUGCCAACUGCACCGCCGGGUAGCUACGUUCGGUGAGGAUAAGCGCUGAAAGCAUCUAAGUGCGAAACCCUCCUCAAGAUGAGAUUUCUUUUAAAGGUCGUUAUAGACGAUGACGUUGAUAGGCUACAGGUGUAAAGGCAGUAAUGUCAAAGCUGAGUAGUACUAAUUACCUGUAAGCUUUCUAUA